This 254-nucleotide ribosomal RNA is filed under the name uncultured bacterium. Its description in RNAcentral is "partial 16S ribosomal RNA". It matches the Rfam family "Bacterial small subunit ribosomal RNA", at positions 524 to 776 of the family's 1533-position model. The record is from RNAcentral.
GACGUAGGGCGCGAGCGUUGUCCGGAUUUAUUGGGCGUAAAAGGCUUGUAGGUGGCCACGCCAAGCCGGAUGUGAAAUCUCCCGGCUCAACUGGGAGGGGUCAUUCGAUACUGGCGGGCUCGAGGCCGGUAGGGGGAAGUGGAAUUCCCGGUGUAGUGGUGGAAUGCGUAGAUAUCGGGAGGAACACCAGUGGCGAAGGCGGCUUCCUGGACCGGUUCUGACACUGAGGAGCGAAAGCGUGGGGAGCGAUCCGG